AUUGAACGCUGGCGGCAGGCCUAACACAUGCAAGUCGAGCGGAUGAAGGGAGCUUGCUCCUGGAUUCAGCGGCGGACGGGUGAGUAAUGCCUAGGAAUCUGCCUGGUAGUGGGGGAUAACGUCCGGAGACGGGCGCUAAUACCGCAUACGUCCUGAGGGAGAAAGUGGGGGAUCUUCGGACCUCACGCUAUCAGAUGAGCCUAGGUCGGAUUAGCUAGUUGGUGGGGUAAAGGCCUACCAAGGCGACGAUCCGUAACUGGUCUGAGAGGAUGAUCAGUCACACUGGAACUGAGACACGGUCCAGACUCCUACGGGAGGCAGCAGUGGGGAGUAUUGGACAAUGGGCGAAAGCCUGAUCCAGCCAUGCCGCGUGUGUGAAGAAGGUCUUCGGAUUGUAAAGCACUUUAAGUUGGGAGGAAGGGCAGUAAGUUAAUACCUUGCUGUUUUGACGUUACCAACAGAAUAAGCACCGGCUAACUUCGUG
This 484-nucleotide ribosomal RNA is filed under the name uncultured bacterium. RNAcentral describes it as "partial 16S ribosomal RNA". It matches the Rfam family "Bacterial small subunit ribosomal RNA", at positions 30 to 507 of the family's 1533-position model. The record is from RNAcentral.